RNAcentral lists this ribosomal RNA (253 nucleotides) under uncultured organism. RNAcentral describes it as "partial 16S ribosomal RNA". It matches the Rfam family "Bacterial small subunit ribosomal RNA", at positions 524 to 776 of the family's 1533-position model. The record is from RNAcentral.
UACGAAGGGUGCAAACGUUAUUCGGAAUUAUUGGGCGUAAAGGGUGCGUAGGCGGCUUGUUAAGUCAACUGUUUAAUUCCUCGGCCUAACCGAGGGUCAGCAGUAGAUACUGAUGAACUAGAGGAUGGAAGAGAGAAGUGGAAUUCUUGGAGUAGCGGUAAAAUGUGUAGAUCUCAAGAGGAACACCGAUGGCGAAGGCAGCUUCUUGGUCCAUUUCUGACGCUGAUGCACGAAAGCGUGGGGAGCAAACAGG